This 1071-nucleotide long non-coding RNA is filed under the name Anolis carolinensis (green anole). RNAcentral describes it as "lncRNA (ENSACAG00000044567.1)". Lineage: Eukaryota; Metazoa; Chordata; Lepidosauria; Squamata; Anolidae. The record is from RNAcentral.
AUGGUUUCAUUUCUGUGUGGAUGCUCUGGUGUCUCAGAAGUGAUGAUUUGCAAGGAAAACAUUUAUCACACUCCUGGCAUUGGUAUGGCUUCUCUCCUGUGUGGAGUCUCUUGUGCCUCACCAAAUAUGAAUUGCGGGCAAAACAUUCUCCACACUCAUGGCAUUGGUAUGGCUUCUCUCCUGUGUGGAGCCUUUUGUGGUUCACCAAAUAUGAACUGGAAGCAAAACAUUUCCCACACUCUUGGCAUUGGAAUGGCUUCUCUCCUGUGUGGAGUCUUUUGUGUCUCACCAAGUCUGAACUGUAAGCAAAACAUUUCCCACACUCCUGGCAUUGGUAAGGCUUCUCUCCUGUGUGAAGUCUUUUGUGACUCACUAAGUCUGAACUGGCAGCAAAACAUUUCCCACAUUCCUGGCAUUGGUAUGGCUUUUCUCCUGUGUGGAGUCUUUUGUGCCUCACCAAGGCUGAAUUGGCCGCAAAACAUUUUCCACAUUCCUGGCAUUGGUAUGGCUCCUCUCCUGUGUGGAGUCUUUUGUGGCUCACCAAUUUUGAACUGCGGGCAAAACAUUCCCCACACUCUUGGCAUUGGUAUGGCUUCUCUCCUGUGUGGAGUCUUUUGUGGUUCACCAAAUAUGAACUGCGGGCAAAAUAUUUCCCACAUUUCUGGCAUUGGUAUGGCUUCUCUCCUGUGUGGAGUCUUUUGUGGUUCACUAAGCCUGAACUGGCAGCAAAACAUUUCCCACACUCCUGGCAUUGGUAAGGCUUCUCUCCAGUGUGGAGUCUUUUGUGCCUCACCAAAUCUGAACUGUAAGCAAAACAUUUCCCACACUCCUGGCAUUGGUAUGGCUUUUCUCCUGUGUGGAGUCUUUUGUGCCUCAGCAAACUUGUACUGGAAGAAAAACAUUUUCCACACUCCUGGCAUUGGUAUGGCUCCUCUCCUGUGUGGAGUCUCUGGUUUUCUCCGGCAUGGACGCUCUGGUGGCUCAAAAGGGAUGAGCUUUGAACAAAAGAUUUCCCAUAUUCCUUGCAUUUGUAUUGUUUCUCUCCUGUGUGGGAUCCCCAGUGUUCUAUAA